GACGAACGCUGGCGGCGUGCUUAACACAUGCAAGUCGAACGGAAAGGCCCUGCUUUUGUGGGUUGCUCGAGUGGCGAACGGGUGAGUAACACUUGAGUAACCUGCCCUUGACUUUGGGAUAACUUCAGGAAACUGGGGCUAAUACCGGAUAGGAGCUCCUGCUGCAUGGUGGGGGUUGGAAAGUUUCGGCGGUUGGGGAUGGACUCGCGGCUUAUCAGCUUGUUGGUGGGGUAGUGGCUUACCAAGGCUUUGACGGGUAGCCGGCCUGAGAGGGUGACCGGCCACAGUGGGACUGAGAUACGGCCCAGACUCCUACGGGAGGCAGCAGUGGGGAAUAUUGCAUAAUGGGCGGAAGCCUGAUGCAGCAACGCCGCGUGCGGGAUGACGGCCUUCGGGUUGUAAACCGCUUUCGCCUGUGACGAAGCGUGAGUGAAGGUAAUGGGUAAAGAAGCACCGGCUAACUACGUG
This 468-nucleotide ribosomal RNA is filed under the name uncultured bacterium. RNAcentral describes it as "partial 16S ribosomal RNA". It matches the Rfam family "Bacterial small subunit ribosomal RNA", at positions 28 to 507 of the family's 1533-position model. The record is from RNAcentral.